GACGAACGCUGGCGGCGUGCUUAACACAUGCAAGUCGAGCGGUAAGGCCCUUUCGGGGGUACACGAGCGGCGAACGGGUGAGUAACACGUGGGUGACCUGCCCUCAGCUCUGGGAUAAGCCUGGGAAACCGGGUCUAAUACCGGAUAUGACUCCAUGACGCAUGUUGUGGGGUGGAAAGCCUUGUGCGGCUGAGGAUGGGCCCGCGGCCUAUCAGCUUGUUGGUGGGGUGAUGGCCUACCAAGGCGACGACGGGUAGCCGGCCUGAGAGGGCGACCGGCCACACUGGGACUGAGACACGGCCCAGACACCUACGGGU
Molecule: ribosomal RNA, 317 nt
Filed under: uncultured bacterium
Lineage: Bacteria
Description: bacterial SSU rRNA
Rfam family: Bacterial small subunit ribosomal RNA
Source: RNAcentral